UGGCUCAGAUUGAACGCUGGCGGCAGGCCUAACACAUGCAAGUCGAGCGGUAACAUUUCUAGCUUGCUAGAAGAUGACGAGCGGCGGACGGGUGAGUAAUGCUUGGGAACAUGCCUUGAGGUGGGGGACAACCAUUGGAAACGAUGGCUAAUACCGCAUAAUGUCUACGGACCAAAGGGGGCUUCGGCUCUCGCCUUUAGAUUGGCCCAAGUGGGAUUAGCUAGUUGGUGAGGUAAAGGCUCACCAAGGCGACGAUCCCUAGCUGGUUUGAGAGGAUGAUCAGCCACACUGGAACUGAGACACGGUCCAGACUCCUACGGGAGGCAGCAGUGGGGAAUAUUGCACAAUGGGCGCAAGCCUGAUGCAGCCAUGCCGCGUGUGUGAAGAAGGCCUUCGGGUUGUAA
This 404-nucleotide ribosomal RNA is filed under the name Pseudoalteromonas sp. 3SA1(2010). RNAcentral's name for it is "bacterial SSU rRNA". It matches the Rfam family "Bacterial small subunit ribosomal RNA", at positions 20 to 428 of the family's 1533-position model. Lineage: Bacteria; Pseudomonadati; Pseudomonadota; Gammaproteobacteria; Alteromonadales; Pseudoalteromonadaceae. The record is from RNAcentral.